This 1504-nucleotide ribosomal RNA is filed under the name Lactiplantibacillus plantarum. Its description in RNAcentral is "Lactobacillus plantarum partial 16S ribosomal RNA". It matches the Rfam family "Bacterial small subunit ribosomal RNA". The record is from RNAcentral. Lineage: Bacteria; Bacillati; Bacillota; Bacilli; Lactobacillales; Lactobacillaceae.
CUCAGGACGAACGCUGGCGGCGUGCCUAAUACAUGCAAGUCGAACGAACUCUGGUAUUGAUUGGUGCUUGCAUCAUGAUUUACAUUUGAGUGAGUGGCGAACUGGUGAGUAACACGUGGGAAACCUGCCCAGAAGCGGGGGAUAACACCUGGAAACAGAUGCUAAUACCGCAUAACAACUUGGACCGCAUGGUCCGAGCUUGAAAGAUGGCUUCGGCUAUCACUUUUGGAUGGUCCCGCGGCGUAUUAGCUAGAUGGUGGGGUAACGGCUCACCAUGGCAAUGAUACGUAGCCGACCUGAGAGGGUAAUCGGCCACAUUGGGACUGAGACACGGCCCAAACUCCUACGGGAGGCAGCAGUAGGGAAUCUUCCACAAUGGACGAAAGUCUGAUGGAGCAACGCCGCGUGAGUGAAGAAGGGUUUCGGCUCGUAAAACUCUGUUGUUAAAGAAGAACAUAUCUGAGAGUAACUGUUCAGGUAUUGACGGUAUUUAACCAGAAAGCCACGGCUAACUACGUGCCAGCAGCCGCGGUAAUACGUAGGUGGCAAGCGUUGUCCGGAUUUAUUGGGCGUAAAGCGAGCGCAGGCGGUUUUUUAAGUCUGAUGCUCGAAAGCCUUCGGCUCAACCGAAGAAGUGCAUCGGAAACUGGGAAACUUGAGUGCAGAAGAGGACAGUGGAACUCCAUGUGUAGCGGUGAAAUGCGUAGAUAUAUGGAAGAACACCAGUGGCGAAGGCGGCUGUCUGGUCUGUAACUGACGCUGAGGCUCGAAAGUAUGGGUAGCAAACAGGAUUAGAUACCCUGGUAGUCCAUACCGUAAACGAUGAAUGCUAAGUGUUGGAGGGUUUCCGCCCUUCAGUGCUGCAGCUAACGCAUUAAGCAUUCCGCCUGGGGAGUACGGCCGCAAGGCUGAAACUCAAAGGAAUUGACGGGGGCCCGCACAAGCGGUGGAGCAUGUGGUUUAAUUCGAAGCUACGCGAAGAACCUUACCAGGUCUUGACAUACUAUGCAAAUCUAAGAGAUUAGACGUUCCCUUCGGGGACAUGGAUACAGGUGGUGCAUGGUUGUCGUCAGCUCGUGUCGUGAGAUGUUGGGUUAAGUCCCGCAACGAGCGCAACCCUUAUUAUCAGUUGCCAGCAUUAAGUUGGGCACUCUGGUGAGACUGCCGGUGACAAACCGGAGGAAGGUGGGGAUGACGUCAAAUCAUCAUGCCCCUUAUGACCUGGGCUACACACGUGCUACAAUGGAUGGUACAACGAGUUGCGAACUCGCGAGAGUAAGCUAAUCUCUUAAAGCCAUUCUCAGUUCGGAUUGUAGGCUGCAACUCGCCUACAUGAAGUCGGAAUCGCUAGUAAUCGCGGAUCAGCAUGCCCGGGUGGAAUACGUUCCCGGGCCUUGUACACACCGCCCGUCACACCAUGAGAGUUUGUAACACCCAAAGUCGGUGGGGUAACCUUUUAGGAACCAGCCGCCUAAGGUGGGACAGAUGAUUAGGGUGAAGUCUA